AGGAUGAACGCUGGCGGCGUGCCUAAUACAUGCAAGUCGAGCGGUAAGGCCCCUUCGGGGGUACACGAGCGGCGGACGGCUGAGUAACACGUAGGAACGUACCCCAAACUGAGGGAUAAGCACCAGAAAUGGUGUCUAAUACCGCAUGCGGUCUUCGGAUUAAAGCUUCGGCGGUUUGGGAACGGCCUGCGCAUGAUUAGCUUGUUGGUGAGGUAAAAGCUUACCAAGGCGACGAUCAUUAGCUGGUCUGAGAGGAUGAUCAGCCAGACUGGGACUGAGAACGGCCCAGACUCCUACGGGAGGCAGCAGUAGGGAAUUUUCCACAAUGGGCGAAAGCCUGAUGGAGCAACGCCGCGUGCAGGACGAAGGCCUUCGGGUUGUAAACUGCUUUUAUAUGUGAAGAUUAUGACGGUAGCAUAUGAAUAAGGAUCGGCUAACUCCGUGCCAGCAGCCGC
This 455-nucleotide ribosomal RNA is filed under the name uncultured bacterium. RNAcentral's name for it is "SSU rRNA". It matches the Rfam family "Bacterial small subunit ribosomal RNA", at positions 26 to 518 of the family's 1533-position model. The record is from RNAcentral.